This 584-nucleotide ribosomal RNA is filed under the name uncultured bacterium. Its description in RNAcentral is "partial 16S ribosomal RNA". It matches the Rfam family "Bacterial small subunit ribosomal RNA", at positions 355 to 935 of the family's 1533-position model. The record is from RNAcentral.
UGGGGAAUUUUGGACAAUGGGCGCAAGCCUGAUCCAGCCAUGCCGCGUGCGGGAAGAAGGCCUUCGGGUUGUAAACCGCUUUUGUCAGGGAAGAAAUCUUCUGAGUUAAUACCUCGGGAGGAUGACGGUACCUGAAGAAUAAGCGCCGGCUAACUACGUGCCAGCAGCCGCGGUAAAUACGUAGGGUGCAAGCGUUAAUCGGAAUUACUGGGCGUAAAGCGUGCGCAGGCGGUUUUGUAAGACAGAGGUGAAAUCCCCGGGCUCAACCUGGGAACUGCCUUUGUGACUGCAAGGCUUGAGUGCGGCAGAGGGGGGAUGGAAUUCCGCGUGUAGCAGUGAAAUGCGUAGAUAUGCGGAGGAACACCGAUGGCGAAGGCAAUCCCCUGGGCCUGCACUGACGCUCAUGCACGAAAGCGUGGGGAGCAAACAGGAUUAGAUACCCUGGUAGUCCACGCCCUAAACGAUGUCAACUGGUUGUUGGGAAGGUUCCUUCUCAGUAACGUAGCUAACGCGUGAAGUUGNCCGCCUGGGGAGUACGGCCGCAAGGUUGAAACUUAAAUGAAUUGACGGGGUCAUAGCUGUUU